RNAcentral lists this ribosomal RNA (382 nucleotides) under uncultured beta proteobacterium. RNAcentral describes it as "bacterial SSU rRNA". It matches the Rfam family "Bacterial small subunit ribosomal RNA", at positions 55 to 435 of the family's 1533-position model. The record is from RNAcentral. Lineage: Bacteria; Pseudomonadati; Pseudomonadota; Betaproteobacteria.
AUGCAAGUCGAACGGCAGCACGGAGAGCUUGCUCUCUGGUGGCGAGUGGCCCAUGGGUGAGUAAUAUAUCGGAACGUGUCCAAUAAUGGGGGCUAACGAGUCGAAAGAUUCGCUAAUACCGCAUACGCCCUACGGGGGAAAGCAGGGGAUCGUAAGACCUUGCGUUAAUGGAGCGGCCGAUAUCUGAUUAGCUUGUUGGUGAGGUAAAGGCUCACCAAGGCGACGAUCAGUAGCUGGUUUGAGAGAACGACCAGCCACACUGGAACUGAGACACGGUCCAGACUCCUACGGGAGGCAGCAGUGGGGAAUUUUGGACAAUGGGGGCAACCCUGAUCCAGCCAUUCCGCGUGAGUGAAGAAGGCCUUCUGGUUGUAAAGCUCUU